Cyprinus carpio carpio is the source of this 309-nucleotide long non-coding RNA. Lineage: Eukaryota; Metazoa; Chordata; Actinopteri; Cypriniformes; Cyprinidae. The record is from Ensembl.
GGCCAAUGUGCAUACGUAAUGUGUUGGCAGCAGCAGCAGUCCGGCACGUUCGAUAGAAGUGGCCGAGGGAGCUCAACGCACUGCAACUUAUGGAAAUGUGUUGCUUAGGAACCCUAUCAGAUUAAUGUCCUGCCUAUCGAGUCACCCUCCCAAUUUCCUGUAGUCAUGUCCCGCCUUCUGGCAGACGGUCCCCUGGAGCCAGAACUGGUGUGAAGACCGAGGAAAGAAGGAGCAGAGGUGAUGAGGGCAAGAGUGUAAGAAAGAGGCAUGAAGCCAAUGAGACAGAUGGAAAAAUUAAGAAAAAAAGAG